GUAGAGAUUGUUAAAAAAACGUCUUAAAUUCCUAAUUAGCAUAGACUUCUUUUUGUAAGGAAUAUUGUAUAAAAUAUUUCUUAAUUGAUUUUUUAUUGUAAUAUUAAAUUUCCUUACCAACAUUGUUUGUAUUAAAGUUUCUAUUGACAUAACAUAUAUCACUUGAAUAUGGGAAACACUAAGGUGGUGUUUGUUUUUUUGGCUUUUUGCUGAAAAUCAUUUAGUUUUAGAAUUUAGAUUGUUUGUUUUUUUUUUUACUUUUUCAUGACUUAUUAUAAACUUUUUACUAAAUAGAAAAAAAUAAAAUAUGUAGCUUUUUCUAAAUAGAAAAAAUGACACAAUGGUUUUUUUUUAGUUUUUAAUACUUAAUAGAAAUAAAAUACUACAAAAACAAACAACCUAAUAUUUAAUACUAUUAAGUAUUAAGGUUCUAUUUAGAAUUAAGUAAAAAAAUAAACACCACCUAACUUUUUUGGUACCAAAAUUGAGAAUUGUUUUCUAUUUUUUAUUGUUCAAAUUUGUAUCAAAAUAUUAAUUUCUAUAUUUUUAUUUUUUUUAAAAAAGUGAAAAAGCGUUAAAACAAAUAUCACAUUGUUUAUCCGUGAAAGUAAAAAAUGUUCGUGAAAAAACCGUUUUACUUCAACAAACAAGUGCGUAUUUUGGAUAUUUAAAAAAAUGUAAGUAGUAAACAACCUUCAUUUUUAAUCAUUACAGCCUUCAGAAAAAUAGUUUUAUUAAUUUCUGACAUGUCAUUGAUUUAUUGAAAGUUGACUCAAAUUUGGAAAUGAGAAUAAAAUAGGCCUCCCACAAAUAACAAGUUGCCACCAAUUUGAUAAUCUUGGUCAUUAAAUAUGUGUAUAGUAAAGUCUAGUUGAAUUAUGAUAAUAAAUAUGUGAAAUUAAGGUGGAAUUAAAUAAGAUUAAUAUUAAAAAAAAUGAGAUCGAUGUAUAAAUUGUACAUAUAAUACAUAAUGAUUGCCCAAUUUUAUUUAUUUUUAAUUCUUCAAUAGGUAUUGAUUCCAUAUCGAUAUAAGUUUAUCCUUUAAAAAAAAAAAAGUAAAUUAAUUUCACAAAUAUUUAAAUGCAAUAAUGAAAUACAUAUUAAUUCCUCCAUCUUAUUGUUAUAAUUAAUUAUUCAUUAUAUAUAUUAUUGCUGAAUAAUUAAGCAUGAAAUAAGCAAAUUUGUGAUUGGUAAUUUGGCUAGGAGCUAGCCGCAUGUAGCAGAAGCAAGUGAAAGAGGGAAUUGAAAACUGUUGGCAUACUUGAAGGAGAUGGUAGAACCCGCGGCUAAAGGACUUCCAUCAUUGACAAGGCAAUCAUCAACAUCCAGACGCCUGAAUAUUUUAGGGUUCACCAGAACUGCCGAAGCAAACAUACCGCAUUUCAAAUGGAGAUUGGAGAUGGAGCAGCCUCCGGCGCAUGCAUUCGUGAUCUCCACACUGAAAGACGGUAUCCCACUUGGUAGAGUGCCGGCACUCGACUGUGCAAUCACGAUAUCGCCAUUUGAACAGUUUGUCUCAGCUGCUACCACUGGUCAACACCAUUGCAACCUUAAGAUAUAUAUCAUACUAAUGUAUAUAUAUAUUUAGUAUAUCAUACUUGUUACCAUCUUUUCUUGCCUCACGGCUUGCAUGUUGGCUUAAUAAAUGAUAAGAAAUAAAUAUAAAUUAAGGGCUGCUAAUACUAAAAAACAAGAAAUUUAUUCAAAUUAAUAAUACCUAAGUAAUGGAUUUUUGUUUAAAAAAGGAAAGAAUAUUUGUAUGCCAUGCAGAUAUAUGACAUCACAAACAGAAGGCAAAACAAAAGGAGAUAUCUUCAACUUUAACUUAUAUUUAAAAGAAAUGAUAAGUUAGAAUAUAUCAAACAAACCAGUAUAAAAUGGAAUCAUCAGAUUAGUGCUGAUGAUGCAAAACAAAAGGAGAUAUCUUCAACUUUAACUUAUAUUUAAAAGAAAUGAUAAGUUAGAAUAUAUCAAACAAACCAGUAUAAAAUGGAAUCAUCAGAUUAGUGCUGAUGAUGAUGAUGGACAACAUAACUAUAGAGACAUGGCAAAUUGAGAAGACUUUCAUAUUGGGUGUUUGAUCUUUCUUUUCUUUCUUUGCAAUCAUUUUAACAUAUACUAUCACAUAUAUAUACCUUCUUCGUAUUCAUAUUAUAUUUUAUUUCAUUGUUACCAUCCUAUCAAUUUCUCCACAUUUUUUCUAUUUUGCAUAUCCAUAAAUAAAUUAAGCUAAUUAAUAUCCUAGAAUGACAUUUCUAUUUGUCUUAAACUUUUUUAUUCUCAUUUGUUGAAAUCAUUCCCUUCCUCAAUGGCUAAUAUAUUCCAUUAUAGUAAAUAUCUAAAAAUUUUAAUAUCACACAUAUAUAAGAUAUUUUAUAUAUAUAAUAUAUGGUAUCAAGUAUCUUAUACAUAGAAGAAAGAUAGAAUAAAAUAUCUUAUAAUAUCUUAUAAUUAUAAGAUAUUUUAUUCUAUCUUUCUUCUAUGUAUAAGAUACUUGAUACCAUAUAUAUAUAUUGUGUAGUUAAUUAAAUCAACUUACAAUUUUCUUUUCAUUUAUUAUAUAUUUUCAUAUAUAAAUUAAGCUAAAUAGUAUCCUAGGAUAGCAUUUCUAUUUAUUUUAAGAUUUCUAUUCUCAUUUGAUCCUUUCCUAGAUGUAAGGCUACAAUUUGGGCGGGUUGGAUUCGGUUGAUGGCCAACUCGAUCUAACUUGAAUUAAAAAUUAAUUAAUUUAAACCUAAUCCAACCUAAACUUUAACCUAAAUUAAUUAUUCAACCCAAUCACAUUUUUUGAAGGUUUGAUUGAUUAAGUUACUUGGGUUAUAUGAUUCACAAUCCAUCUAUAAUUAUUUAAAAAAAAAAUUAUAUAUUUGUACCAUAAUUUAAAAAGUAAAUAGAACAAUUACAAUUUUAAGAUAAUAACAAAAGUGAAAAUAAAUUUAUGUCUUUCUAAAAAAAUGGAAAAGCAUAUGAUAGAAUUAUAAUUUGAUACUUUUCCUAAAAUCUAAAAAGAAAAUAAAUAGAAUAAAUGUUAUUAUAUAAAAUAAUAUAAAUUAUAAAUAUUAUAAAAAUAUUAAAUCAAAUUUAUGUUAAACUCAGAUUGUUUAAAUCUUAACUUGAACUCAAUCCAAGUUGAGUUCCGGUUGAAAAAACUCAAUCUCAACCUAACUUUAGUGUUAAAAUUAUUGCCCAGGGUUGUCCAAAGGCCAAGUUGGGUUGCGUUUGACUUGAGUUUGAUAAAUCCAUUCAAGUUGGAUUUCUAUAUGCUUGGCCAAUAUAUUCCAUUAUAUUAAAUAUAUCAAAACUUAUAAUUAAGUUAAUAUCACUUUUAAAUAACAUAUAUAAGAUGUUUUUGUCAAUCUUUCUUCUAUGCAUAACAUAUUUGAUCGAUGUCAUAUAUUGUAUGGAAGACCUUACACUUUUCACCCUUUUAUGCUAUCAUUUUCUCUAUCUUCAGUUUCCAUAUAUUGAGAACCUCUUCAUUUUUUUUUUUCGGGUCAGCUAGUGAAAUUAGGAAGUUGAAAUUGAGUCCAAAUCUUAAGUAUUAUGUAUUGAGUGGGAAAUUAGCUUAUAUAAAUCAAUAACAUGAUGUUAUUGACAUGAAUUACUAAGAGAAAAUUAGGAUUUUUUAUAUUCUCUUUGCUUAUUAUUAUUAUUAUUAUUAAUGAGUUAGAUUAGUUAGCUUAAGUGAGUAGUUUGGUUUUAAACAUUACUAAAUCUACUCUCCGUAUUUUUUGGGAUUUACAGUGACUUAGAAGAUUCGAGAUCAUCAUCAACAUAUUAAGGGUCAUUUAAGGAAGUAUGGUACUUGAGUUUAUUUGUGUGACCAAUUUUAAUUGUGUAUUUUAGAUUCAUUAAAAUAUGAAACAACCAACAAGUUGAAAACACUAGAAAGGAGUACUCAAGUGCCCAGAAAGGUGCAUUCAAGUGCUUGAGACUUUCUUUCUUUUCAUAUUUUCAUUAUUUUUUAUUUGGUUCAUAUUGUUAAUUUGAUUUUUCUCGUAUUAUUGGCCCAACUUGCUGGGGUUUUAAGACUAUAAACCCCCUUACAUGCCCUAGAACAAUAUUAUUAUUAUUCCUUGCAUGUUCCUAACAUUCUCAAGAACCUCAUUCUUGAUCGAGACUUGUUUAUGGAGGUUAACAACAUCCUCUUAUGGCAUUAAAAGGUUUAAUAAGGAGUCUGAGCUUGGUGCUAUGCUACACACAUGAAGACCAGUGUAGCUGUUGACCAAUAUAACACUCUUGGAGAAGGUGCUAUCUGGUUUACAUAUAUAUACUUAAAUUCAUAUUUAAUGAAUUCUCUUUGUGCAUAGUUGAUUGGACCCAUCGUGCCUUUUUUUUUAUUUAAUUGCAAGACUCUAUAAGUGGUUUCCAUGUACAUCAUAUGUUUAUCAUAUAAUUGGACUUAUUCUAAAAUCUUGAUAUGUCAUUGAAUAAAGAAAUUUUUAAUCGUGAAAUAAACUAAAAUUUUGGGUAUGAAAUCAUGACUACCUAUUCCCUUCCCCAUGUUUUUAGAAAUUAAGAUUUGAACUUUUAAUUAGUGUAAGAGUAAGUUACAUUUUAAAAUUUUAAAUUCUUAUUCUUAUUUAAUCUUGAUUCAUGGAAACUACGGUGAGUGGGAUCAUCCAUAUACAAUUCACAGUACUUUCAUAGAAAUAAUUAUCCUAAUUAUGGAAUUUUUUUUGAAAAUGUAAGAUGAACAAAUUUAGAAUAUUAUUAAAUUGAGUUGGAGGCCUUGAAGAACUGAAGCUAAAAUAUGAAUAAGAUAAAUUCAAUAAUGAAAACAAUGACACAAGUGUCAAGGCCCCCCAUAAUCUCUUUAAUUGGGAGAGUCCUAAUGGGUUUCACAAGAUAGCUACAUAUAAACAUGCUACAAAGGCUUAGGAUUUUUUGGGUCACACAUCGAGACAGUUUUUUAUGAAAUUUUCCAAAAUACAAAUAACUUUGGGAAUAUAAAAAAUAAGAAGGUGAAUUUUUUUUUUCUAUGAUGAGUUGAUUGAUAUUGUCGACUACUCUAGUUUCAAUGAUCUAGGGGAAAUAAAUUAUGACCAAGAUUAAUUUUACUAACAUUACCAUCUAAAUUAUAACCCCUUUAGGUAAUACACAGAAAUAAUCGCCCAAGGUAGCCAUUGUAAAUUUUCUUUAUUGAAUAUUUAUGAGGAAUCAAAUGAAAUAUAAGAUUAUUUGUAUAAAGGUUAUUUUAAUCAAUUUUUGAUGAUUACAAAAUAAAGUUAAGGUUACCGAUGAAUUACGCCGCUUGAAUGAUUUUCUUAAUAUAAUCUGUCAUCUUUCACAAACAUAAUAAAUAAUUUUAUUAUUAAUAGCUAAGUCAGAUAUAAUAUUUAAAUUUAUUUAAAUAAAUUAUAUUAUUUCGUAUGUGAUAAUCAUAUUGAUUAAUAUUUUCAUUUUAAAAAAUAUUUCAAAUGCAUCAUGCUAGUAUGCCUUCUUCUUGUUUAAAUGGUGACAUAGGAGAUACAUAUAAGUUUUUGGAAGACAAGUCAUUUUCUAUCUUCCUUAUAAAAUAGUAAUACAAAUAAAAUUAUAAAUUGUGUGGUUAAAAAUAUGCCACGUAAUUAUAAUAUUAAAUAAUUAUUUAUUUUAAUUAAUAGAAAAUUUGAAACGUAUUCUUAAUAGAAAACAUGAAAGUUAGAAGAACCAAUAAAUUAUUAGUUUUCUAAAUUCUUGAUAAAAUUAAGAGUUUAUUUAGUAAUGAUUUUAAGAAGUAUUUUUAAUUUUUUUUAGUAUUUAAAAAAUAAAAAAUUUUAAAUAUUAGAAAAACUAUAAAUAUUUCACAAAAUUACUACUAAUGCAUUAUUACCAAAUGCACUUAAGAGUGCGUGUGAAAGUAUUUUUACUUGAAGUGUUUUUAAUGAAAGUAUUUUUUAAAAAAAAUAUUCUUAAGAAAAUCAUUAAUAAAUUUUUUUUUUGCAUAAAACAUUAUAAGUGAUUUUUAAAAUUUUUAAAAGUGUUUUAUAAAUUUUAUUAAACAUCUAAUAUAUUUUUAAACACUUUUUAAGUUAAAAGUGCUUAUUAAAAUCACAACUAAACAGAGUCUAAGAUAUGAUGUUUUAAAAUAUGUUUCUUUUCAAAAUAAUAUUCAAAACGGAGAGGGGAACAAAAUUGUCUCUAAUGGCCAACAAUGCUUUACUUUUACUCAUUAAUCGGAUUUGGAUACUAAAAAAAUAAAGAUGAAAAAAAAAGUUAAUAAAAAUAUAUUUUUUUCAAUUCUUAUAGAAAAACCCACUAAAUCUAAAAAUAAAGUUGAAAUAUAUAUAUAUAUAUAUAUAUAUAUAUAUAUAUAUAUAUAUAUAUACAUAUAUUACAGUGAAAAAUAUAUAAAUUUAUAAUAUCUAUUAGUUGAAUUAUGGAAGAUAAAUGCAAAAAUUUGAAAAAAAAAUCAAUUUUUAUUAUUUUGAUUUUAAAAAAACCUACUAAAUAUAAAAAUAAAGUUUUUUUAUUAUUAUUAAUUUUCCUUCAAAAUAAGGUUUUAAAUAUAUAUAAUGAUGAAUAAAGUCAACUUCAAUUUGAGUUAAAAAAAUUGUCCUUAAAAAUUAAUUCUGAGUACUAACACAUUGCAUAAUUGUUGAAUCUUGACAUCACCGUUGUGGACGGUGAACUUGAUAUGAUAUUCAAAAGAAAAAAAAAAUUAUAUAUUUAUCAAGCUUUGACAUUUGAAUUAAAUAAAACUUAGAAUAAAAAAAAUGGAAUACAUGUUUAAAAUAAGAACCCAAUCAAGAUAAUAAUUAUUAUGUUGACAGUUUGUAAUUUUAUUUUAUUUUUUUGGUUAAAAAAAAAGAAAGAAAAGAGAAUAUAAGAUUCCAUUUAUGUGGAGUAAUUGGUAGAGGUAAAAGUAGGUUUUGAUACGAAGACAUGGUUUUGAUGACCGGUUCACAUGUUGAGGUAGACAUGUGUGAGGUGUACCCAUUAAUUUUAAUUUUGGUAGGUGGAUGACAAUGUUAUUAAUGUGUAGAUUUAAGGUUGUUUGGUAAAACUUGAUAUUUAUUAUUUAAUGAUUUGAAUUGAUUUAAAGUUAAAUUAUACUUAAGUUGUUGACUUCAAAUUUAUUACUUAAAUUUUACUUUAAAUAUUAAGGUUAUUUGAUAAAAUUAAUUUAAAAUUUAUUUUAAAUCAUUAAAUUGAUAUAUUUAUCCUCAUAAAUUAUAAUUAGGGUAAAAGAGGUUGAAUAACAAUGGAAGUUAUGGAGCAACAAAAAAUAUUAGGGAUGUAAUUAUAACAAAUACAAAUAAAAAAGUAAAAUAAAAAAUUGAAUUUAAGAAUAAAUUAAUUAUUUUUAUUUAUUAUUUAAAGUUGUUUUUUGACGUUAAAUCGGAUCAUUAAGUUAUUUUAUUAAACAUGCUUAAUUUAGUUAAUGACUUAAAUUAAAUUAUUAAGUCAUUUUAAGUUAUUAAAUUGGUUUAUCAAACACUCGCUCAAUCAAUUUUCUUAGUUUAGUGCUUUGCCUGAUAAAAUGAGAUGGGAAGUUAAUGAACUAUUAGAAAAUAUUUUCCAACUUUUUUACAAUAAUUUAAAAAACAAAUUGAUGUUUUUUACAAUAAAAAUCUUUUUGAUAAAAUGUUUUAUAUAACAUACAAGUUCAAAACAUUCCAAAUUUUCAAAAAGAAUUUUGUUGUAAAAAAACAUUAUAAAAUUGUUUUUGAAAAUUAUUGUCAAAAAGUUGGAAAACAUUCUCUACCAGUUCACUAAUUUCUCAUCUCAUUUUAUCAUGCAAAACACUAAACUAAGAAAGUUUAUCGAGGGUUUAGUAAAGUGAUGACUUAUUGUGGACCCCGCAUUUUCGGCUCAUGCGUUUCCCACUCGAUGGCGAGCUAGAUUUUUAUUUGAAAAAUUGAUUUUUAUUGAUUAUUUGAAAAUGACUUGGAGUCGCCACUUAUUUUUGUUUUAUUUUUAAAAGGGUAAACAAAAUAAGAAAGAAAAACCCUAAGUGUGACUCCUUAUUUUGGAAAAAGCGGUUUGUGAAAAACCGGAUCGGGUUCGGGGGUCAGGUUACUUAUCGGGAAGGUACGGUAAAGACCGUAGCACCCCUUUAAGUCCCUAAAGUCGGGUCUCUACUAAUAAAACGAAGCUGAUGUGGCAAUGAUGAAGAAAACAAUGAAUAUUCAAAGCGAUCAUGCACAUAUGAGUAUCAGAAUAUGCAAUAGAGGAUAACCGAAGUGGAAGUGGAUGCGUACCUGAUCAGCAAACGACAACGCGCUAUCACAAAAUGGGAUUAGUGCAUAGUAAUGAACAUAAAGUAUAACACUCAUAUCACCCAACCAGAUAAAGAAGCACCAAUAUCAUGCAUAGUACUAUUUCAAAUUCACUUUAAUUUUAAAGAAGAUUAUUUGAUGUAGGGCCCCCACCAAAGCCCGUUUAUUUUUGCAUGAAUUAAUUCCGUAAACUCCAUCACUCGGAAUUACAAAAAUUAAUUCUUGCUUAUUUUUUAAAACAUUUUAAAAGAUCGUGGAAGAUUUGAAAAUUGCUUGCCGAAUAGAAAGUGGAAGCAAAUUUUAUUAGAAUUGAUAUUUUGAGGCAUAAUAAAACUAAAACCAAGGAUGAAGAUUUGAAAAAGUUAAAAUUAUUUGAAAAUCGAGAAAUUGAAAAACUAUUUGAAAAUUGGGAUUUGAGGGAUUAUUUAAAAAAACCAAAGGUGAAACCAAGUCAGAAAGACAUGUGGCUUAAAAGUGGCCAUGCACCAUGCAGAGUGGAGUUGGCCACUUUUAUGGCAGUUUCAGGAAGAUAUGCUACAGCCUCAUAGGAUUCUGAUCCAUAAGCUAUUUGAGAUGGGCAGCAGGCUGACUCAUCAAAAUGACAAUGAAGGUCGUCUCAUCAUCCACAGAGGCCCCACCACAUAGAAUAGAAACUUCUCUCAAGGAUCUCUUUCACAAUCUGUGCAUCCAAAACUUCAAAUUCUUGCAGUCCAACAAUGCAAGCUUGCUGUCUUCUAUCUUCUCUCAUACAAAGUUUCUUUCUAUCGCUGAGAAGAUCAAGGAAUUUUCCGCCAUACAUCUCAAAAUAGUUUAACCACAACUUAAACCUUUGAUUCCGAUAAGUUGGCUGAUGCAACCAUCUAAUAAGAUCUUCGGCAACUCUCAUCAUUAGUAACAAGCUCAUCCAGCACGGCACUAAAACAAACUCCAUUUUGCAUGUCAGUCGGUACAGUGAGAGAAACACAUAAGCAUUCCCACUAAUGCCAUGGCAAACCCCAACUCGCUUGAGCAGCCCAUGAUUCCAAACUACCUCUGCUAGAUUUAAGCACAGUAAAGGGAGCAUCCCAAGGAUGAUGAAUCCACUCAGUGGGCACUCUUGCCAGCUCGGGCAGCCAAUGUCUCACAUAUUCACCCUCUGGAUCAUAAUUGGAGCUUUGAUUCUCUGCCACUUCAGCACCAAAAUCUGCCCAGCUCAAUGCCAAAAUCUGCCCAGCUCAAUGUCCCCGUCAUCUGAGCAUCUACCUUGCCCAGAACCUUUCUUCCUUUGAUACUGAGAUACAUCACCAUGUAGUGCAUAAAAGUUUGAUGGGCUAUGCACUUACUACCCUGGACUCUGAUGUGUGCGUAGAAAAGAAUUGCUUGGAUUGAAGCCUUCAGCUGGGAUCGGACGAGUGACAUUAGCAUCUUCAAGGCUGCUCUCAAUGCAAAAUGAAACACCAAGCCCAUCAACUCUCGAAUCAGUCAUAUGUUAAGCUCCACAGUCAACUGUACCCCGCUUCAUAGCAUAUUUCUAAUUCUCUGUUACCAGUACACCAUACUUCAAAUUUUACCUCAUCAUCAGCCAUCAGUAGAGGGACAUCAUCAUCUUCAGUUAGCAUGUGCUCAAACUAUUCUUGUGCUGAGGAUUUAAGGUCAUUCAUAUGUGGAGGAGGUAUGUGGCAGUGUCUGGGUACAUAUAUGACAGUCACCACUCAUCAAAUGGAAGAUGUCAAUGGCUUCAUCAGGCCUUUUUACUUUCCCAGAAAUACUGACUCUUUGAUUGAGCUCGAGCCUCCACCUAACUUCGGCCCAAUGCUCGCAUCAUCUUCAUCCAUGCUGAACGUCAAAAACCAUUUUCCAUUUUCAAUGAAACACUGGCUGGUAACACGAUGUGCGUGACCCUCAACUUCCUGAACUAUUCUUGACGUCAUGACCCCAAACAGUCAACUCACCAAGUCAUCAGUUGUAGUAGUUUAAAGCCCCUUUGAACGAUGGUGAAUAUUCCUCACCACAGCGCAACCAAUUUUCUAUCUGUAUUUUAUCCCACCACCUUAGAAAUCUUCGAACAUUUAUGUCUGAUGACGUCCCACACUUAUUAUUGAAACAUCUUUAUUUCAAUCAUUGACAAUUCCAACCACUUCUCCAUCAUGAAUACAAAGUUCCGCCUAUGAAUACUUUGGCUGCUGGCGUACUUUCAAACGAGCCUUCUUCCAGUGCGCUGAAGGCAUAAGGUAAGCUGACGAACCUUUAACUGCAGCCACAACGACAAGACUCCAUAUAGGAUGUCUAGACGUGCCCUGGUAAGAUGCUUUACAUUGAGAUUUACACCUUGUAGUUGAUACAACCCAGCGAGCUUGGAGCGAGAAGCUUCUUUUGAUCGUCUGAAGUCAUCAUCUGAGGAGUUGUGAGUACAAAUCCCACCAUUCUAUGUCAUCGGAUAUGUCACUCUGAAGCCAUUUCUUGCGUGCACAAUUAGUAUCCUUAGUGACAGCAAAUGAGCCACCAACCUGUGGCUUCUAGACAUAUUAUUCAUCACCAUUGUGCUCGAUAGUAAUAAUCACCUUCUCAAACAUCAAGUAAACUGGGUAGAAUCCCACACCAAACUGUAUAAUCGUGCCCACAUCAGUGCCAGUAGCUGAAGCUUCCAUGAAUUCCUCAUGAAGGUUACGUGGUGUGAAAAUAUAGGCAUGAUGGGUUUGAAAGAUAUGGGCACCUUUAGUGGACCGAGUAGCAGGAGAGAAAUGGACGGGUGGGCAUUGGAAGGUGGUGGUGAUUAGUGAGGUAUGUGCAUGGGAAUAGGGAUGAAGCAUAUAUAUGGGUAGUGAGAAAAUGGGUAUAAAGGAUAUGGCUAUGUGGAAUGGAUUGUAGCAGAUGGGUGUAAUGGAUGGAGGUAAUGGGCAUCAUGGAUGGAAUGGGUAAUGACUAUUGACACGGCUAUGAAGUUCCAAUGUCCCUUGAUGGUCAGGAUCUACAGAGAUGACACCUCUAUAUUCCUGUAGUGCACCCCAACACAUCUCCAAUGUGCUCAUGAAAGGCUGCCCUCAGGUGUAGAAGAUGAAGAUCUGCUUUGAACGCUAUUGCCCUUGACAAUUCUGCUAUUGCUUUCUAAACUGUUGCCAAGUUCCAGAUUAUAGCACAUAUUCCUUGCUUGUAACAGCUUCCCAUUUGGAGCGUAUACCCAUAUUUAGCCAGUCGUAUGGCUGGUUGGAAUAAACUUCUCCAAACCAGUCACCCAUGUUUCAACCCAGCAUCACGAAGGCCAGCUAUCUCCUUAAGAACACCCAUAGCCAGUGUACCUUGAUACUUGGCUCUGGGAUUGUUCUCAUACAUGUUUUGUGGAGCAACUAAGGGAGCAGUUUCCCUCAUGCCAAAAGCCUCGGAUUUUGAGGUUGAUGAAGAUUGAACAAUCAUGAAAGCUCCACCUCCUAUUCCACUUGUUAUCGGAUUAAAUAUCCCCACACGCCAUGCAGUUGCAACUUCAGCAUUAACAGCAAGCCUUCCUUUUCUAAGCGUAAAUGCACCGAUUCCAGAGCAACGGCCAUCAUCGACAGCAACCACACCUAGCUUCCUGUGAAUCCCCUUCUCUAGCUUGCUUCCACUGCAUAAACCUUCUUUGCACUUGCUUGUGUUAACCAGAUCGCAAGAAUGCCACUCCCAGUUCCUUUUCAAUCAAAAUCAAAUCAGAGUAACAAUUGAUUUCUCCAACCAGUUUUUCCUAUUUCAACAAUAUCUUCCGCAGCAUCAAGAAGAAUUUGGAGAUAUAUCAGCAGCCAUGGAUGAGAAUAUCUGUGACUAAGACCAACUCGGUCAACAAAGGAAACCCACAAUUCUCUUCGCGUGAUUGCAUGACUACACAAUCUCUGAGAAGCAUAGAUCUAAAGAGUGCAUCAGCGGAUUAUAGGGCCCGAGGGAUUCAAUGGCGACGAAAAGGAUAGAUUCUCAGAGGUAAUGAUUGUGUCUGCCAUAGUGAACCUUCGUUGCAUAGCAUUGAAUUAGAGAGGAAAUAUUCAUGGCUGCGAGGAUGAGUUAUCACCAUGCUUCCCCUUUAGUGGUGGGGUCCAGUAGGGAUAUUUUAAUACCCACUACGCCUUGGGAAUUCUGGCAGACUCACUUACAGGAACAACAUCAUGAAAGGUACCCUUGCUUAUUUUAGUAUCCUCAAAGACGAGAACUUAAUCACCACUUUCUGUUCACUUUUGUAGCUGAUGGAGAACUUUGGACACCACGCAUUCAUGCAUAGGUAGCUUGACGAGUUCUUCCCACUGCACUAGCAAAGCUCCAUGGCCAAAGACAAAAUCACUACAUCUGGGGGGAAACACUAGCAAUAUAUCUUUGGGUCUACACGGCAUGCUCGCAAACAUCAUCACUUGGAGAACCAGGAAGUUUCACAAACAUCGGAACGGCCCCAUGAUCGAUUGUCAUUUGGAAAUGCAUAAUAGAAAGAAGAAUUCUCUGCUCGCAUCUCGCUCCAAACAGUCUAACACAAACUAACCCAUAAUGAACGGCUUUGAACAUCCUUCUCCUAGCUAUUGGUUUCUCAAGGCUGAGUCACCUUACCAUACUCUCUUCUUUUCUUUAGUAAGCUUCUUCUUCAAAACUUUCAGAGUCUUCUCAAAAACACCCAGUCCGGACAGUCAAACUCAAACAGAAUACCCGCCCUAAAAGAAAUAGAAAUUAGAGGAUAGAGAAUGAAGAAGGAAAACAUAGCAAGAAUGGAUGGAUUAAGGAAUUACUAAGCAACAUCUCGUUUCAUGAAUGAUGAACGAGUGGCUAGCUGGUGGGAUGAGUUAAAAAUCCACAAUAUAAUCAUCAGAACAUCCAAACCAAACUCAAUGAGAAUCCAAUCAUUUUCAGAAGAAAAGAAAAUCAAGCACAGGAGAGAAAUAAAGCAGAGUAUCAUACAUGAAUAAGCAUAUUCAAUCGAAACAAACCCCGUGGCUCUUGACGUCCACGGCAAACAAUCCAAACUUUGCUCGUAAAUCAGUAGAGAAUGCGACAGUAUAUUAAGAAACAAGAACAUACCUAGCUUGAGGGCUGUCUGGGAAUUCCAUCGGCAACCUUCUUCAAUCUCUCCUUCUAGCAAUCGAAUACCCUCCCUGAAGCUCCUCUCCAGCUCAAGAGAUCCCCCUCUCUGGUUCCCUCUCUACAGCUUUUCUCUCAAGCUAAAAAUCUCUGCUAGCCUCCUCUGAAUCCUCUCUCUGAAGCCUAAUGAAAAAAAACCCCCCUCCAAAAAUAUCUCUCAGACCAGCAUGAGAAGCUCCCCCCAGCUUGCUUCCUCUCCCGCUCCAGCUAGCCAAAAACACCUCCCAAAAUCUCCGUCAAACAACCAUAAAAAAAAACCUCCUCCUCUGCAGCCUCAAAACUCCCCUCUGAAAAGCACCUCCUCUCCCUGCAGAUACGCUCCUUCUCCCGCUCCAGCUAGCCAAAAACACCUCCCAAAAUCUCCGUCAAACAACCAUAAAAAAAACCUCCUCCUCUGCAGCCUCAAAACUCCCCUCUGAAAAGCACCUCCUCUCCCUGCAGAUACGCUCCUUCUCCAACAGAAAAAGGCACUCCUCACUCCUACCUGCAGCUGGCCUGCCACCCCUCAACAGAAACAAAACUCCUCUCUGAAGAUCCCCUCCCAGGUGUCAACCAUUCAUUGGCUCCUUCAACUCCACUACCUGAUUCACUGAAAGCCAAUUACGAGGUGACUCGUGGUUCCUUGAGAUUGUGACACCUGUCCAAAGUUAGCUGCAGAAAAUGAACCCCAAAUGGGGGUCUACACUUAUAUAUAUAGCUAGAUAUCAAAACUCACAAUCUCACUUUUAAACAUUCCCUUUGUUACACAAGUGGUGUGUAGUCAUUAACAAAAUUGCAUGAAAUAUCUUGUGUGUAUUAUCAUGCACAUCAGAGAUUAAUAUCUAAAAAGUUCAACAAUUUAUUAUAUCAUAACAAUGUAUGUAAUGUGAUUGGUUAUAACAUAUGCAUAGUGAUAAUUAAUUUCUUGAAUGUAAAGUAUAAUUUAUUUUUGCAACUUAAUAUAAGUUAUGUACAUUUUGACCAAAUAAGAAUUUAGCAUAUAUCUCAUACUUUUAGAACUUUAGAAAAAUUAAACAAGUUAUAUAUAUAACAUAUGCAAGAGAUAUUUAUUUUAUGAAAAAAUUAGUAAAAUCAUACAUAUCAUAACUACUCACAAAAAUUAUUGCAAUCAAAACUAUAAUAGAACUUAUAAUCUUAUGACUCCACAAAUUCUAGGAGUUUUGCAAGAAUGAAGGUAUUGUGAGACACAACAUAAUUAGACAUACUUCAUAGAAAAAUGGAUGAAUAAAACCCUUUUAGAGAGAGCACGAUGCAUGCUUUUGAAUGGAGGGUUGUUAAAGGAAUUUUGGGUUGAAGUAGUAAAUUUAGCUUGUUAUCUUAUGAAUAGAUCUCUUUUUGUAGGACUCCUAAAAAGGUAUGGUUUGGUCCUCCUUCUAAGUAUGCAAAUUUAAGAAUUUUUUGUUGUUUUGCUUAUGCUCAUGUGAAUGAAGGUAAUUGGAACCAAGGGUGAGGAAAUGCAUAUUCUUAAGAUAUACAGAUGGAGUGAAAGUGUACAAGUUAUGGUACCCAUAUUUAAAAUUCUCCACAUUUCUUAUUAGUAGGGAUAUGACUUUUAAUGAGUCUAUAAGUUUGAGUCCUAGAAAGGAGCAACUUUAUGUAGGAAAUAACCCCAAUGUGAGGGAGAAGAUGGAGUUUGUGCCUAAAGCUUCAAAAACCAUAUCAAAAACAAUUUCAAUAAAGCCAAAGAAGAAAUAAAUGCAAUAUCUUGAUGAUAAAGAAAAUGCACCAUAAGAGCAACAAUAUUGUUUAGUAAGAGAAAGAAUGAGGAAGUCUAUUAAACCACCACAAAAGUAUGUUUAUGUAGAUUUGGUUGUUUGUGCACUUAGUGUGGCGGAAAACAUUGAAAAUGAGGAACCUCACACUUAUCAUGAAGUCAUCACUAGUAGAGAGUCUACAUAGUGGAUUGUUGCUAUGAUUGAGGAGAUUGAAUCUCUUCAAAAUAACCAUACUUGGCAACUAGUCGAGAAACCUAAAAAUCAAAAGAUUGUUGAUUGCAAAUGAGUCUUCAAAAGAAAGGAAGGAAUUCUAGGAUUGGAGGAUGUUAAGUUUAAAGCACACUUGGUUGCAAAGGGAUAUACUCAAAAGGAGGGUAUGAACUUCAAUGAAAUGUUUUCUCUAGUUGUGAAGCAUAGCUCAAUCAGGGUAUUGUUUAUUAUGGUUGCUUUAUUUGAUUUAAAGUUAGAGCAACUUGAUAUCAAAAUUGUUUUUCUACAUGGUGAGUUGGAAGAAUAAAUUUAUAUACAUCAACUUGAAGGAAUCAUUAUUUCGGUUUAGGAAAACCAUAUUUAUUUGUUAAAGAAAUCUCUUUAUAGUUUGAAGCAAUCUCCUAGGCAGUGAUAUUGUUAGAAAUAUGGAAUAAUUGUAUUCUAUUUCUUAAUUAAAGAAUAUACAUCAGUGCCUUUAUAUAGGAGGCAUAUGUGUGCGGUACAAGUAAUAUGUGUGCGGUACAAGUAAAAUGUACUAUACAAGUAACCUAACUGGGCCUAAAGCCCAUAACAUAAUAUACUUUAACAGCCCCCCUCAAAUUCAAGGUGGAUGUGAGACCAACUUGAGGUUGUCAACUAAAUCACGAGUACGUCUCUUAGGAAGUGACUUGGUGAAGAUAUCUGCAAGUUGAUCUUUGGAGGAGACGGAGAAAAGCUUAAGAGCACCAUGGACAAGAUGAUAACGGAUAAAAUGACAAUCAAUCUCGAUGUGUUUAGUCUGUUCAUGAAAGACAUCAUUGUGAGCAAUAUGAAUGGCACUCUGGUUGUCACAAUAAAGAGGAGUAGCAGAGGAGGUGGACACACCCAAAUCCUUAAGAAGCCAUCUUAGCCAAAGGAGCUCAGAUGUGGUAUCAGCAAGGGCACGAUAUUCUGCUUCAGUACUGGAACGGGCCACAAAAGUUUGUUUCUUACUUCUCUAAGAAAUCAAAGAAGAACCAAGGAGGAAUCAAUAACCUGUAAUGGACCUACGAUCAGUAGGAUCUCCUGCCCAAUCAGCAUCAGAGAAUGCAUGGAGUACAAGAGGAGACUGAGCUGAGUAGAAAAGGCCAUGAAAAGGGUACCCUUCAGGUAUCGAAGAAUGCGCAGAACAGCAGCAUAGUGAGUUGAUCGUGGAGUAGACAAAUACUGGCUCACUUGAUGAACAACAUAGGAGAAACUGUGAGAUAAACUAAGCUGCCAACCAAUCAUCUGUAAAGAGAAGUAUUAGACAAUGGUUUCCCCCCCGAGGGUGUCAGAUGCGCAUUAAGUUCAACUGGAGUGUCAACAGUCUUGCUGUCAGUGAGUCCAGCUUGAGACAAUAGGUCAGAAGCAUACUUGGCUUGAGUAAUAUAAAGACCAUCUGUGGAAUGAGUAAUUUCAAGACCCAAGAAAUAACUGAGAUGUCUAAGAUCUUUCAUCUCAAACUGCUGACUGAGAAAAUCCUUGAGUUCUUGAAUGCCACUAAGGUCAUCACCAGUUAUGAUCAUAUCAUCCACAUAUAGAAGAAGCAAAAUAGUGCCUUUAUCAGUACGACGAAGAAAUAAGGCAGAAUCAUACGGACUGGCAGUGUAACCCAAGCGAAAAAUAGUGGAGCUGAACUUGGCAAACCAAGCUCGUGGGGCUUGUUUAAGACCAUAAAGUGCACGUCGAAGAUGACAAACCUUGUUUGAUUCAACAGAGAGACCAGGAGGAGGUUGCAUAUAGACUUCUUCACUCAGAUCCCCAUUAAGGAAAACAUUUUUAACAUCCAUCUGAAAAAAAUCCCAUUUACGAGCAGCAGCAACAGCUAAGAGAGCACGAAUAGAUGAGAUACGAGCAACUGGAGCAAAAGUCUCUUCAUAAUCAAUCCCAUACUCUUGUGUAAAACCUUUGGCAACAAGACGAGCCUUGUAGCGCUCGACGGAUCCAUCAGAGCGAGUCUUGAUCUUAUAGAUCCACUUACAACCAACCACAGAUUGUCCAGGAAGGAGAGUAACCAGGUCCCAAGUAUGGUUUUUGGUUAAUGCAUCAAGUUCCUCUUUCAUUGCAAUUUACCAUAAAGAGUCAGUAGAGACCUCACGAUAGGUUUGAGGCUCGUGAAGUGUAGCAAGGGUAGUGUAACAAUGAUAGUCAAGGAGGUGUGGAGGAAUGGAUCUUACCCGGGUUGAGUGGCGAGGUGGAAUGUCUUGUGGAGGAUCUUCAGGCAGAGCAGGAGCAGGGGACCCAGGCUCAAAGUGGGGUAGCUCGUCAUCAAUCUGUUCAUCUGCAACCUGUCUAAGAGAAGCAUCAAAGAUAUCUGGAGAGAAGUCCAAAGGAGGAUCAAAAGUAUUUGUAGAAGGAACAAGAGACUCAUCUGGAAAGAUUUCUAAAACAGAGGAGUUAGUCAAGGAAGAACGAAAGUGAGAGAAUUCAACAAACAAUCGAUGUUCCCAAAAGACAACAUUAGGAGAAACACGAAGACGAUGAGAGACGGAUCAUAACACCUAUACCCCUUUUGAGUUUCGCCAUAACCAAGGAAACAACAGAGUCUAGAUCGAGACUCAAGUUUGUUGUGCUCAUGAGGCUGAAGAAGAACGAAACAAGCAGAUCCAAAUGAGCGAAGGUGAUGAUAGUCAGGGGGUGACCCAAAGAGACGCUCAUACGGAGUCUAAUUAUGGAUGACAGCACUUGGAAUGCGGUCAAUUGCAUGAACAACAUGAAGACUAGCUUCACCCCAAAAUGGGGCAGGAACUUUGGCAGAAAAAAGUAGAACACGAAUAGUGUCAAGAAUAUGACGAAGUUUUCUUUCGACUCGACCAUUUUGCUGAGAGGUACCUGGACAAGUUAGAUGAUGUAUAGUGCCAUAGGAAUGUAACAGAGCUUGAAACGCAUAUUGAGUAUAUUCAAGAGCAUUAUCAGAUCGAAAAGUUUUGAUACGUUUGGAGAAUUGAGUUUCAACCAUUUUUGCAAAAUUGCUAUAUAUUGGUAAAAUUUCGGAACGAGAUUUCAUAGGAAAAAUCCAACUAUAACGAGAAUAUUCAUCAAUAAAAACAACAAAAUAUCGAGAUCCACCAAUACUAGCAACAGGAGAAGGUCCCCAAACAUCAAAAUGAAUUAACUCAAAAAUACUAUUAGAAAUGGAUUCACUGUUAUUAAAAGGCAAAGUUGGCUGUUUUCCUAACUGACAUGAAGUGCAAUCAAAAUUGUCUUUAGACACAGAACCCAACAGACCCCUAGACACUAACUGUUGUACCCGAGAAGAUGGUGCAUGACCAAGACGAGAAUGCCAAAGUGCAAGAGAAGGUAAGGAAAAAACUACAGCCGCUGCAGCAGCAACAAAAACAGGAGCAACAGCUGGAAGAUGAAGAUUGUUCACGGGAAACAUACGCCCAACUCUAGGACCGGUCCCAAGCUCCUGCCCCGUCCUCGGAUCCUGCAUAAUACACCCAGGAUAGUAAAAAAUAAGGCGAUAACCUAGUUCAGCUAAUUGUCCCACAGAGCACGAAUUAUAGGAUAGAGCAGGUACGUGGAAGACUCUAGGAACAGAAAGAUUAGAGGUUGAAACAAAACCUAGACUAUUUCCAUGCAUGGUGAAACCAUCAGCUAUAUGAAUAUUUAGAGGAUGUGGUGUAGGGUCAAGGUUGGAGAACAGGGAUGAGUGAGGUGUCAUGUGAUUGCAGCAAACAGAAUCAAAAAGCCAAGUUUGAGACUUAUCAGGUAGAACAGAUAAGGCAGUGGAAAGAGAUGCAUUACCAGCCAUACGAACAGCUUGAGCUAUGAUCUCCUGUAGUUCAGUGGAGGAGAGGUUGAUAGUAGAUCCAGAAGACUGGGACUCAACUGAGAUGGAUGUCGUUGGCGGAGUAGGCUCAGUAUUAGCAACAGCAGCAGUAGAUUUGUUACGACGGUAACAAGUCUCAAUGGUGUGGCCAGGACGCUUGCAAUAGUUGCAGAACUUUUUGUUGGUCUGCUUGCGAUGAUUGCUAGAGCCAGAAAAAUCACCUAAUUGCUAAGGUUGCUCUAUGAGUGGAGUAGAUGGAGUAAUAGCCAAAACAUUGAGCUUAUUCUAGGCUUGAAGGGUUGCAAGACGAGCUUCUUCUCUAACUAACUCAUUCACAACAGUAUCAAGAAAGGGAGCAGGACUGCGAUUUAGCAGCUGACCACGAAUGGGCUCAAAGUCCUUGUGAAGUGACAUCAAGAAUUCAUAGAGGCGAAAUUCAUCUCUGAUGGAAGCAUAUUGCUGAGCAUCUUUUGAGCAUGCCCAAGUUGGAUCAGAAAGGUCAAUUUAGUCCCAAAUGAAGCGAAGCUGAUCAUAAUAGUCAUUGAUGGAUUGCCCCGGUUCUUGCCUGAGUUGAUGCAAUUCAACCACUAACUGAUAUUUCAUGGAUCCAUGAGUAGUGGAGUACCUUUUGGUCAACAUAUCCCAUGCAGAUUUUGCAUCGUCAAAGCUGCCCAAUAGAUUGGAAAUAGAGGGAAUGGAAGUGUUCCGGAUCCAUGUGAGGAUCAUGUGGUUAUGACUAUCCCAUUCAAUCAUGCGACUAAGAAAGACAACAUCUUCUUCACUUGCUCCCUUGACAGGAAUAGUCAUUGCACCAGUACAAUAAUGUCAGGGCAUGCGACUCUUAAGAAAACUGCGCAUAGCUUGAGACCAAGAUAAGUAAUUUUUAUUCCCCUCCAAUACAGUAUUGAUGGGGCGAGGAAGAAAAACAUCUUUUUUAUCCAUUUAGAGACACAAUAUGCAAAAACAGACUGCAAAAAUGAAAUCUACACGAAAAACUGGGUAAGGAGAACCUGGACAGAAAAUGUCAAUUGGGGAAAGUCAAUGGUCAAAGUCAACGGUCAACAGUUGGUCAACAGUCAACGGUCAACGGAUGAAGCCACAGGAUGACGUGGAGAUGACGUCAGCAGAUCAGUGGAUGCUGACGCAGCUAGGGCUAACGUGGCAGAGAUGAUGACGUCAGCAAACCAGGCCCCGACGCGUGGCAGCGCAUGGAGGCACGUGAUCAGCGUCGCAGAAUCUUUGAGCGGCGCGUGCGGUCUCCGAUGGCGGCGAGGGUUCCACGAAUGUGUAGAUCGACACUGGACGAUCUCAAUGGUACUUUCAAAAAUGAAAUCCGAGCAAUAUUCGCAGCGGUGAUGCAAAGAGCAGUGGUCUGUGCAGUGUGAAACUCCUUAACGAUGGCGGCUGCAGGUCCGGAACCCAAGGACGACGGCUGGAUGACAUCGGAGGUUCAACGGCAAGAGGCUGCGGCGACAGUUGUGAUGGCGGAAGCGUUUAGUGAAAGAAAGGAAGUCACACUAAUGAAGACAAGAUUGCCAAGAAAAGGUCAGAGCAGUGGCUCUGAUACCAUGUUAGAAAUAUGGAAUAAUUGUAUUCUAUUUCUUAAUUAAAGAAUAUACAUCAGUGCCUUUAUAUAGGAGGCAUAUGUGUGCGGUACAAGUAAUAUGUGUGCGGUACAAGUAAAGUGUACUAUACAAGUAACCUAACUGGGCCUAAAGCCCAUAACAUAAUAUACUUUAACAGAUAUAAAAUGUUUGAUAAUUUUAUGAUUAGUAAUGGUUAUCAUAGGAGUGAGUAUGACAAUUAUGUUUAUCACAAGGAGUUGUUUUAUGGUUCUUUCAUUUAUUUAUUGUUAUACAUUGAUGACAUAUUAAUUGCCUAUAAGAAUAUGUUUCAAAUCUAACAUAUUGCAAACUCAACUUCAAGGAGAGUUUGAAAUGAAAGACCUUGGAGUUGCAAAAAAUAUAUUGGGUAUGGAGAUCCAUAAAGAUUGAGAAGUAGGAAAUUUGUGCUUAUAAUAUAAAAAGUACAUUAAGAAAUGAAACGCUUUGGAAUACAAGGGUAAAAACCAGUGAGUACUCUACUAGUAGCUCACUUCAAACUUUCAAGUGCUUUAUCACCAUAGACCAAAGAAAAAAAAGAGCACAUGAGACAUGUUCCUUAUACUAAUGUAGUUAGGAGCAUUAUGUAUGUCAUAGUUUGCACUAGAUAAGAUAUUUCACAUGCAGUUAGUGUGGUAAGUAUAUGAAUUGCCCUAGAAAAAUCCAUUUGUAAGUAGUGAAAUGAAUGUUUGAGAGGAACAUUACAUGUUGGCUUAGUAUAUGAUAAAAGUAGUAACAUCUCUAGGGAAAUUGUUGGUUAUGUUGAUUAAUCUGAUUAUUCUAGAGAUUUGGACAAAAGAAAUUCUCUAACAGGAUAUGUAUUCACUUUAUAUGAUAGUAUUAUUAGUUGGAAAACAACUUUGUAAUAUAUAGUUGUUUUGUCAACCAUUGAAGCAUAAUACAUGGCGACCAUAGAAACAGUAAAAGAAACUAUUUAGUUUAAGGGUUUGGCUAUCUAGGCUUACAACAAGAGUUGAUUAUUGUGUAUUGUGAUAAUAAAAAUGUCAUAAAUUCGACUAAAAGUCAGAUAUUCCAUGAGAGGACCAAACAUAUUAAUGUCAGAAUGUAUUUUAUUAGGGAUGUGAUUGCACAAAGUGCUAUUAGCAUUAUUUCGACUUAAUUGGUGUUAAUAGUAUCUAAAAGCUCAUUCAGGAUGUGGGAACAAAUUAACAUGGAAGACUUUUGAGUUUGUUUGAAUCUUAGGAAGCAAAGGUUGAGAUUGUUGGGUUUUCUAUUAUUAUAAAGAAAAUACCCUAUUGUGAAAUCUUCUUUUAGAAAUAGACAUCUUUAACAAUUAUACUCUUACUUUGCUAUAUGAAAUCUUCUUUAGUAAAUAGAAAAAAAAUAUAUAGGAAGAGAUUUUGAUCAAAAUAGUAAUGGUUUCUUUUUAAGUCUAAUUGGGACUUUGGGAUUUGAGAGUUCAAGGAUUGUAAUCUCCUUCAACAAUAGUGAAAGCUCUUCUUUGUCUUCGCUUGUGGAUGUAGGCUUGAAGUCGAAACCAUGUAAAUUGUUAUAUGUUUUGUGUGUCUUUUUUUCGUUCUCUUAUUCUUUUUCCUCUAUUAUUAUUCUUUGUUGUGUUUUUUUACAAAAAAAAAAUGGUAUCAAAACUUUGAGUUAAAGAUCUUUGAAAGAGCCAGUAAGAAUAGAGCACAUAAGAUGAUGAUAAAAGAAAUUUUAGUUGAACGUGGAGUCGAUUGUUCUAUCAUGGGGAUAUGAUAGAAAAAGCUUGUGUUAUGGAGAAAUGGAAGGUUGACUUGAUAGAAAUUGAUCCAAGGUAGAAAUUGUUAAAAAGUAUCUCAAAUUCCUAUAGACUAAUUUUUGUAAAGAAUAUUGUAUAAAAUAUUUCUUAGUUGAUUUGUUAUUACAAUAUUAAAUUUCCUUAUUAACAUUGUUUGUAUUAAAGAUUCCAUUGACCCAACAUAUGUUGCCCGAAUGGGAAACACUAAGUUUUUUGGUACCAAAAUUGAGAAUUGUUUUCUAUAUUUUUUAUGGUUCAAAUUUAUAUCAAAAUAUUAAUUUCUUUAUUUUUCUUAAAAUAAAAAAAAAAAGUGAAAAAGCGUAAAAACAAAUAUCACAUUGUUUAUCCGUGAAAGUAAAAAAUGUUUGUGAAAAAAUCGUUUUACUUCAACAAACAAGUCCGUAUUUUAGAUAUUUAAAAAAAUGUUAGUAGUAAACAACCUUCAUUUUUAAUCAUUACAGCCUUAAGGAGAAAUGGUUUUAUUAAUUUAUAACAUGUCAUUGAUUUAUUGAAAGUUGACUCAAAUUUGGAAAUGAGAAUAAAAUAGGCCUCCCACAAAUAACAAGUUGCCACCAAUUUGAUAAUCUUGGUCAUUAAAUAAGUGUAUGGUAAAGUCUAGACAGUUGAAUUAUGAUAAUAAAUAUAUGAAAUUAAGGUGGAAUUAAAUAAGAUUAAUAUUACCAAAAAAAAAAUGAGAUCCAUGUAUAAAUUGUACAUAUAAUACGUAAUGAUUGCCCCAUUUUUUUUUUGUAGCUCUUCGAUAGGUGUUGAUCUAGCCGCAUGUAGCAGAAGCAAGUGAAAGAGGGUAUUGAAAAGUGUUGGCAUACUUGAAGGAGAUGGUAGAACCCGCGGCUAAAGGACUUCCACCAUUGACAAGGCAAUCAUCAACAACCUGGCGCUUGAAUAUUUUAGGGUUCACCAGAACUGCCGAAGCAAACAUACCGCAUUUCAAACGGAGAUUGGAGAUGGAGCAGGCUCUGGCGCAUGCAUUCGUGAUCUCCACACUGAAAGACGGUAUCCCACUUGGUAGAGUGCCGACUCUUGACUGUGCAAUCACGAUAUCGCCAUUUGAACAGUUUGUCUCUGCUGCUACCACUGGAAUUAUAUGACAUCACAAACAGAAGGCAAAACAAAAGGAGAGAUCUUCAACUUUAAAUUAUAUUUAAAAGAGAUGAUAAGUUAGAAGAUAUCAAACAAACCAGUAUAAAAUGGAAUCAUCAGAUUAGUGCUGAUGAUGAUGAUGGACAACAUAACUAUAGAGACAUGGCAAAUUGAGAAGACUUUCAUAUUGGGUGUUUGAUCUUUCUUUCUUUCUUUGCAAUUAUUUUAACAUAUACUAUCACAUAUAUAUACCUUCUUAAUAUUCAUAUCCAUAAAUAAAUCAAGCUAAUUAAUAUCCUAGAAUGGCAUUUAUGUUAAACUUUCUAUUCUCAUUUGAUGAAAUCGUUCCCUUCCUCAAUGGCUAAUAUAUUCCAUUCUAUUAAAUAUCUAAAAAUUUUAAUACACAUAUAUAAGAUAUUUUAUAUAUAUAAUAUAUGGUAUCAAAUAUCUUACAUAUAGAAGUAUGAUAGAAUAAAAUAUCUUAUAUAUGUGAUAUUUUAUUCUAUCUUUCUUCUAUAUAUAAGAUACUUGAUACCAUAUGUUAUAUAUAGAAGAAAGAUGGAAUAAAUUUAUAGUUAAUUUACAAUUUACAAUUAUAUAUAAGAUACUUAAUUUAUAGUUAAUUAAAUCAACUUACAAUUUUCUCUUCAUCUUUUAUGCAUUUUCAUAUAUAAAUUAAGCUAAUUAGUAUCAUAGGAUAGCAUUUCUAUUUAUGUUAAGAUUUCCUAUUCUUAUUUGAUCCUCUCCUACAUGCAAGGCUGCAAUUUGGGCGGGUUGGAUUAUGGUUGAUGGCCAACUUAAACCUAAUCCAACCCAAACUUUAACCUAAAUUAAUUACUCAACCCAAUCACAUUUUUUGAAGGUUGGGUUGAUUAAGUUACUCAAGUUAUAUGAUUCACAAUCCAUCUAUAAUUAUUUUAAAAAAAUUAUAUAUUUGUACCAUAAUUUAAAAAGUAAAUAGAACAAUUACAAUUUUAAGAUAAAUACAAAAGUGAAAAUAAAUUUAUAUGUCUUUCUAAAAAAAUGGAAAAGUAUAUGAUAGAAUUAUAAUUUGAUACUCUUCCUAAAAUCUAAAAAGAAAAUAAAUAGAAUAAAUGUUAUUAUAUAAAAUAAUAUAAAUUAUAAAUAUUAUAAAAAUAUUAAAUCAAAUUUAGGUUAAACUCGGAUUGUUCAAACCUUAACUUGAACUCAAUCCAAGUUGAGUUCCGAUUGAAAAAACUCAAUCUCAACCUAACUUUAGUGUUAAAAUUAUUGCCCAAGGUUGUCCAAAGGCUAAGUUGGGUUGUGUUUGACUUGGGUUCAAUCCAUUCAAGUUGGAUUUCUAUAUGCAUGGCCAAUAUAUUCCAUUCUAUUAAAUAUAUCAAAACUUAUAAUUAAGUUAAUAUCACUUUUAAAUAACAUAUAUAAGAUGUUUUAGUCAAUCUUUCUUCUAUAUAUAACAUAUUUGAUGCCAUAUAUUGUAUAGAAGACUUUACACUUUUCACCCUUUUAUGCUAUCAUUUUCUAUAUGUUCAGUUUCCAUAUAUUGAGAACCUCUUCAUUUUUUUUUUCGUAUUCUUAAGAUGAGACAUUAAUCUUUAAUUUGGGAUCUUUAUAGAGUAGUUUAAUUAGAUCUAAAAAAUUUUAGCAUGUGGUUGUGUCUGAUGUAAGGGGUCAGCUAGUGAAAUUAGGAAGUUGAAAUUGAGUCCAAAUCUUAAUUAUUAUGUAUUGAGUAGGAAAUUAGCUUAUAUAGAUCAAUAACAUGGUGUUAUUGACAUGAAUUACUAAGAGAAAAUUAGGAUUUUUUAUAUUCUUUGCUUAUUAUUAUUAUUAUUAUUAUUAUUAUUAUUAAUGAGUUAGAUUAGCUAGCUUAAGUAAGUAGUUUUGUUUUAAACAUUACUAAAUCUACUCUCCGUAUUUUUUUGGGAUUUACACUAACUUAGAAAAUUCUAGAUCAUCAUCAAUUCAUAUUAAGGGUCUUUUAAGGAAGUAUGGUACUUGAGUUUAUUUGUGUGACCAAUUUUAAUUAUGUAUUUUAGAUUCAUUAAAAUAUGAAACAACCAACAAGUUGAAAACACUAGAAAGGAGUACUCAAGUGCCGGAAAGGUGCAUUCAAGUGCUUGAGACUUUUUUCUUUUCAUAUUUUCAUUAUUUUUUAUUUGGUUCAUAUUUUAAAUUUGAUUUUUCUCGUAUCAUUGGCCCAACUUGCUAUGGUUUUAAGACUAUAAACCUACUUACAUGCCCUAGAACAAUAUUAUUAUUAUUCCUUGCAUGUUCCUAACAUUCUCAAGAACCUCAUUCUUGAUCGAGACUUGUUUAUGGAGGUUAACAACAUCCUCUUAUGGCAUUAAAAGGUUUAAUAAGGAGUAUGAGCUUGGUGCUACACACAUGAAGACCAGUGUAGAUGUUGACCAAUAUAACACUCUUGGGAGAAGGUGCUAUCUGGUUUACAUAUAUAUAUAUAUAUAUAUACUUAAAUUCAUAUUUAAUGAAUUCUCUUUGUGCAUAGUUGAUUGGACCAUGGUGUUUUUUUUUUUUUUUUUAAUUGCAAAGUUUCUCAUAGACUCUAGGUGGUUUUCCAUGUACAUCAUGUGUUUAUCAUAUGAUUGGAUUUAUUCUAAAAUCUUGAUAUGUCAUUGAAUAAAGAAAUUUUUAAUCGUAAAAUGAACUCAAAUUUUGGGUAUAAAAUCAAGACUACCUAUUCCCUUCCCCAUGUAGUUUUAGGAAUUAAGAUUUGAACUUUUAGUUAGUGUAAGAGUAAGUUAGAUUUUAAAAUUUUAAAUUUUUAUUCUUAUUUAAUCUUGAUUCAUGAAACUACAGUGAGUGGGAUCAUCCAUAUACAAUUCACCAUACUUUCAUAGAAAUAUUAUCCUAAUUAUGGAAUUAUUUUUGAAAAUAUAAGGUGAACAAAUUUAGAAUAUUAUUAAAUUUGGUUGGAGGCCUCUAAGGAAUUGAAACUCAAAUAUAAAUAAGAUAAAUUCGACAAUGAAAACAAUGAUACAAAUGUCAAGGCUCUUUGUACCAUCUUUAAUUGGGAGAGUCCUAAUGGGUUUCACAAGAUAGCAACAUAUAAACAUGUUACAAAGGCUUAGGAUCUUUUGCGUCACUCAUGAGGACACUUUUGCUGUGAAGUUUUCCAAAAUACAAAUAACUUUGGGAAUAUAAAAAAUAAGAAUAUGAAAUAUUUUUUUUUUUCUAUGAUGAGUUGAUUGAUAUUGUUGACUACUCUAGUUUCAAUGAUCUAGGGGGAAAAAAAGCUUGUAUCUAAGGUAGUUACAAUUUUUUUUUUACUCUAAAAUAUUUAAAGGACAUUGACAUUAUGAGAGUUAAUAAACUUGUAGGUUCCUCGACUUUUGAGAAUUCUAUACCUACUUCUAAGAAGUCUAAGGGUGUAGCCUUUAAAGUUAAUUUCUAUGAAUGAAGGUAACAAGUUUGAAGAACCUAACGAUAAAUGUUUAAUUUUUACUCAACUUUCUCUACUUGCUAAAAAGUUAAAGAAAACAACUCAAGCUCAUAAAAAAUAAAGACUCAGCAAAGAGAAAAAGGUUUAAAACUAAAGAAAAAGAAGAAAAAAAAGUGCAUUGUUUAUUUAUAAACAAAAAAAUCAAUGUUUUAAAAAUCGGAUCGGAUCGGUCGGUUCGAUUGGUCAAACCGUCGAUCGGUGACUUUUCCGAUUUGAUUCCUCCCUUUGGGCUGACUAUCAAUUGGACCGGUGGUGAACUGCUUAAGGCGAUGGUUGGACCAUGGGUAGGGCAAAGGGCUGAAGAAUCGACACAUUAAUUGCUUACCCUUCUUGCAAAAUGGGCUUCCUACUUAAGUACCAUGCUAUAAGGCCCACCAACCACUUGGCUUAAGCACUUGCUUCAAUUAGUUGAGAAGAGUUACUUUAUUUUUCCUCUCAUUUCCGAUAUGGGAUAAGGUAAAGGGAUUUAAAAGCAAAAAUCAACUUUGUUCUUGCCAACAAAGGGUUUGAACCAUGAACCACAAGCUCAUAAUGGUCAUAACCACUCCACCAUGUUGCAUCUUUGUUUGUAUUAAUUUUUAACAGAAAAUUACUACAUAGGCUAUUUCAAAAAAUAAUAUAUAUAUAUAUAUAUAUAUAUAUAUAUAUAUAUAUAUAUAUAUAUUACAUAUUUUUUUUUAUUUUCAAUUUUUUCACAUUUAAAUACGACUUUUUUUUUUACCAUUUUGAAUAUAUUUUCAUAUUUAAAUAUUAUAUAUAUUUUGUUUAAUAAAUUUAAACCAUUAAUACAUUUAUAUAAAAAUGAAUGAAUAAUAUUAUAAAUAUUAUUUAAUUUUUAAUUAUAUAUUUUAAAUAUUUUAUAAUUAUUUUUAAUUUUAAUAAAAUAUAAAAUAUAUAUUUAUGACAUCACCGGUUCGACCACGGUUCAACCAUCGAUCCGACCAGUGAACAGUGAACUGUUAACUUUUUCGGUUCAAUAUCCGGUACGGUUCUGAAAACAUUGAAAAAAAUAGAAUGUUCCAAUUGUAGGAGAGUAUGAUACAUGAUUUGUGAUCAUAUUCUCAAAAAUAUCAAGAAAGUUAUGCAAGCAAUUUGGAGUGAUAUUGAAUCUAGUGAUAAUGAGUUUGAGGACUCCUAUGAGAAUAAAGACAAUAAUAAUCUUGUUGUUUUUGUUGCUUGUUACAUUUAUAGUUCACUUUGAUUAUGAUUCUCUUAACAAAUUAAAUCAAAUUAUAAGGGUGAAUUUGAUUUCCAUAAUAUAGAUAUUACCUAGCUAUGAUGUAUUAUAUGAGGAAAGCUUAAAGAUGGAAGUCAAAAUGAGCACGUUUGAAAGUUUUAAUCAAACAUCCUUAAAAAUUGUCUUCAACAUUCAACAUAUAGCAUUUAAUAUUUGAACAUGUUUAAUAUAAAAUUAAAUCAUUUACAUUAAAAAUCUAAUUAAGAGUGAUUUUGAAAGACUUAAAAAUUAGGUUUGACAAAAAUUUUAAAAUCACAUAUAAAAAUUCCAAAAAUGGCUUGAAAUAAUUCUUGAAAAAUCACUUGCCGGCUGAUUUUGCUAAAAAGCAUUGUGAUUUUGAAAGAAUUAGAAAUUAGGUUUGACAAAAAUUUUAAAAUUUCAAAAAUGACUCGAAAUGAUUCUUGAAAAAUCACUUGAAAGCUGAUUUUGGGAAAAAUCAAUUUUUGAAAAACGCUACAAACUAAAACGUUUUAGUUGAAAUCACUCCCGACGUCGGCUGAAUGUCAUUUUCGAAUGAAGUAAUGGCACAAAUUAGUCCUCAAAGCGACAGGCUGCCUGUCGUGAAUCUCCUCAUCGCAUCAUUGUUUAACGAUUACCCACUACAACAAGUUGCAAGGGCAUGCGAAGGUCCUGCCCCAUAUAAUUGACCUUCAAUGCUUCAAAUUUUCAAAUUAGACUGACCGAGCAUGCUCACAUUCACAUAAACUGGCCUCUUCGUGUCUUUGUAGGAAUUUAAAUUCAUCAAUCACAAGUGGGCUAUAUAUAUAUGAUCUUCAUAUAAGUCCAUGAACUGAUUUUUAAGCUCUAAGAUCCACACAUUCUCCCUCACUUUUCUUCCUCAUUAAUCCUUCUACACCGCUAUUCCUCCACAGUAUAUUUAUGGAUGAAACUAAGAGCAGACAGAAAAAAGGUCUGAUGAAGAAGACAUGGGAGCAAUUCAAAUCUUUUGGUCAUGGGAGGAUUUUAUCAAGAACCCAUCAUUCUUCUAUGAAAAGCAAGUCAAGGCCUGGCCACACAGCCUCUCUUGAAGGCGUGAAGAAGGGGCGGGUUGCUCCAGAGGGCUGCUUCUCAGUGUACGUUGGACAUGGGAAACAAAGGUUUGUGGUCAAAACUGAGUAUGCCAACCAUCCUCUAUUCAGAGCACUCCUAGAAGAGGCUGAGCUAGAAUAUGGGUACAACAAUGGAGGGCCUCUUGUGCUUCCAUGUAAAGUGGAAAUUUUUCUUAAGGUGUUACUGGAAAUGGACAGUUCUGAUGAGGUUCAUCAAGGGUGCAGCUUUGCUAGGAGCCCUAGCUCCUAUCGCCUCCUCGGCCCAUCUCGGAUGAUCACCAUGAAUCAUCUAUGAAUUUACCAGAUUCAGAGUUUGUUUUUAUUUAUUCUACUAAUUUAUAUGAGAACAAAGAUCUCUUCAACAAAGGUUUUUAAUAGGUUUCUCCAUUAAUUUUUUACUUUUUAUCAUUAUUGAAAAUGAAAAAAAUAAAUAACAAAUAAAAACCCGAGUUCAAGGGAAAAGGAUUAAUGUAAUUUAACGUAGAUGAUUAGAUAGUCAAAACUAUUAAAAGAGUAUAAACUCUUCAGAUUAGUUUGCGUCUAUGAAUGAAUUUUAGGAUACAAGAAUCAUCUGUAUACUUUGAAAAGAGAUUGUCUUUCCCACAGACAGAUUCAAAAGUAGUUUGAAAUUAGAACUUUCUUUUAUAUAUAAAAAAUAAUAAUCAUGAAUAUCAUUUUCAUUCCCAAGUAUAUCAAGAUGCCAUAACACAAUGCCGUGUUUUAUCAUUUUCGAUCUAAUGACUUUAAAAUUACCCUUCCAACAAGUUAGAUAUAAUUAUAUAUGAUGGACCCAACCCCUAUAAGUAGAUCUUUAUGUUUUCCACCUUGCAAAUAGAUUGAGUACUUUUUGUUAGGAACAAGUGGGCAUUAUGUUGCUUAAUAUUAUCCAUUUUUGUGAUCCAAACGGAAACUAAUUAAUUGAAGGAUAGGUCCUUGUUUUUCUAAAGUUCUAUUGAUAUGUAAGUGAAUGCUUCUUUGGCAAUUAGAAUUGUUUGGAUAUGAAAAAAUUAUCAAAAUUUAAUUAAUUCAAGGACAAGUUAUGCUCUAUAAUACCUAAAAAAAUUUAACUUUUCCAAUUUAAUAGAAUUCAAAUUUCAAUGUCAUAUUAAUGUGGAAUAACCAAGGGGAUGAAAUCAUCCUCACUUUGGAAAACUAAUCCAUCAUCUUUAUUCAACCUAAAAAAAUGUCCAUUUUAAACAAAAAUACCCUCAUUUUUUUCUUGUAAAAGUAACCAUUUCUUUCAAAACACAUAUAUAAAUAAUAAAAAUAUUAAAAGAUAUUUAUGUAAAAAAAACUAGGUUACUCUUCAAGUUCAAAAGUGGGAAAUGUUAGUUUUUAUCCCUUUUAAUCAAUUAAUCCCAUUAAUUAAUAUUGACAAAUGUUAGUCCUUCUUCAUGGAUAUAUAUAUAAUAUUAUUGGAAAUAAUUUUUUUUUUCUUUUGAAUUAAGUGGUUAGAUUUAUUUAAAUAAAAAACAAACCAAGUUUAAACAAAAAGGACUAAUAUAAAUUAACGUAGAUGAUUAGAUAGUCAAAUUCUUAGGAAACCAUGAACUCUUUGAAUUUGCUCUUAUGAAUGGACUUUAGGAUUCAAGUACCAUCCAUUUACUUUAAAAGGAGAUUAGCUUUUUGAAAGCAAAUCAUGAAUAUCGUUUUCAUUUCCAAGUAUAUCAAGUUGCAAUAUAUAAAAUUUCAAAGUCUUAUCAUACCUCAACAAAACGUCAUGUUCUGUCAAUUUUUGGUCUAAUGCUUUUGGAAUUACUCUUUCAUUGGUAUCUUAACAAGUUGCAUAUGCUUGGGUUGGACCUUUGUGAACAUGACCUUGCAAAUGGAUUGAAUUUUUGUUAGAAACAAGUCUCUCACUCUCCAAAGCGGUCCCCUCUCCAUUGCAUAACUUAUUAGCAAAAUCCUUCAAAUUUUGUACUAUAUACAUACACACUCAUUUAUUGGGUUCUUUUAAAAUAGGUAUAUCAUAUUUUAAAAGUAUAUGGUUAAUUUGUUGUGUUGAAUAAAAUACAAAGAAAAUAAGUGUAGACCCCCAUUUGGGGCUCGUUUUUCAGCAACUCAAUUUUGCCAAGUGCCACUAUCCCGGGUGGCCACAUGUCGCCUCCUGGUUGGUUGCUGUGGAAUCAGCUUAGUGGAGUUGAUGGACGAAUGAGAAAGCGACACCUGUUGGAGAAUAUUCAUAAGAGCUUUUGGGCUGUUAGAGUGGAGUUUGGAUGAUUUUUUUUGAAGCGUGAGGGGGACCCCCCUCUCUUACCAUGAAUCCCGGCCAGAUGGGACAAGCAACCAGGAAGUUGAGGGCUUGAUUGCCGGCGGCAACAGACGUGCAGCAGCAAAGGGAGUGGUUGGUCAAACCAUGCUUGCUAACCAGUGAACAGGGGUAAGAAGGGAAAGAGUAAGGGGGGACACAAGAAAAAAGGAAAGCAAGAAGAGGAAGAACAGAAAGAGGGGACAGCAUUGUAGAGAGAGAAAAGGAGUAUGGGUGGAACUUGAAGAGAAAGCUAAGAACAAAGGAACGUAGAGUUGCUGAGAGGAGUCCAGGACAUAGAGCUGAGAAGAGAGAUUUCCAGGUAUGACCAUUUGUUUUUUUUUGUAUAUUUUCUUUUUUUUUUUUUCAGAUUGUCUAGAUUUAAUUCUCAGUGAUUUUUCAUUUCUACUUGUUGGGUUGUUCUGUUUUGGUGAUUACUGAUUAAAUAUUGGAAGAGUUUGCUAUGUUUUAUGCCCUCUUCUGACGAGUAUUUUUCCAUCUUAACUCACUGGAUGUUGGACCCAUGGACGAAAUGAUGAAAUGGGUCCGAUACGCCGGUUAAAGUCUUCAUGUUCUUCUUCUUGUUGCUAUCCUAUUAUCUCCUUGUUUUCUUUUCUUCCCUGAGUGCAUACUCAAGGCUCCCAAGUCUCAGUUGCUUUCCGUGAAGCUUCAAGCCAUGGCCUCAUUGUGGCUAGAAUCUGGGUUUUCAGUGAUGAUGAGAAUGGGUUUUUUCGGUUUUCUCCAAGCUUUCACAGUCAGCAAAUACCCAAGGUUGCAUACUACCAGGCAUAUUCGUCAGCUAGACGUGGAAGCGCAUCUGCUGGUGGCCUGCCCAUUGUGUUUAUGUCCAGGCACAUGUCUUCACUCUGCAUGACCCCUGUCUCUAUUCUCAUGCAGGUGUGUCGUCAUCUCAUCCCCAUGUUUUUUUUCCUUAUCCACCAUACCCAUCGUUUAUCUAUCCACUUCUCUCUCUCUCUAGGUCGUCAUACCCAUUUCCUCACUCAAGCUUGCAGGAAUCAAGCAUCCUCCACCACACCCAUUUUCCUCUCAUUCAUUAUCUGAAUGUAUCACAUCCAGAAUCCUGUCCGACUGACAUUCCACCUUAUCCGGAUGCCUCACAUCCGGAAUCCUGUCCGCUGACAUUCUAUCUUCUUCGGAUGCCUCACAUCCGGAAUCCUGUUCGGCCGACAUUCCACCUCCUCUGGAUGCCUCACAUCCGGAAUCCUGUCCGGUCAACAUUCCACCUCCUCCGGAUGUCUCACAUCUGGAAUCCUGUCCGCCGACAAUCCAUCUUAUCCGAAUGCCUCACAUCCGGAAUUCUGUCCUGCGCCAUCCCACCUUCUCCGGAUGUCUCUCAUCCGGAAUCUGUCUGCCGACAUUCCGCCUUAUUCGGAUACCUCACAUCCGGGAUCUAUUCGGCGCCAUCCCACCUUCUUCGGAUGUCUCUCAUCCGGAAUCUGUCCGCCGCCAUUCCCACCUUCUCCGGAUGUCUCUCAUCAGGAAUUUGUCCGCCUACAUUCCGCCUUAUCCGGAUCUCUCACAUCCGGGAUCUGUCCGACACCAUCCCAUCUUCUCCGGAUGUCUCUCAUCCGGAAUUUGUCCGCCGACAUCCCGCCUUCUCCGGAUGUCUCACAUCUGGAAUUCUGUCCGGCCGACGUUCCACCUUCUCUAGAUAUCUCGCAUCCGACGCCUGAUGCCGGAUGGGAGAGGAAGGCGAUUCAACUUCCCCCGUCAAACAUGUCUGGAUCCUUGUUUUAUAACUUCUUUUUUUAAACCAUUUCAAAGCAUCCUAUCUUUCAUCCUUAGAGUUUUUAAGAUUACCCAAGAGUCCCAUUUGCAAUAAAAUUUUGCUGCCAUCUUUCUUUCCGGCAAGCAAUUUUCACAACUCUUCUGUUUUUUUUUUAAAUGUUUUAAAAUAAGCAUAGAUUCAAUCAUGUAAUUCCGAAUAAUGGAGUUUAUGGAAUUAAUUCAUGCAAAAAUAAACGGGCUUUGGUGGGGGUCCCACAUAAGUGACUUUAUAAUUGAUUGAUUGAUUGAUUAAUUUAAUUGUCAUGCAUGAUUGAUCUUAUUCUUCUAUAUGACAUACUUGAAAUUAUUCCUUAAUUGUACACUAACCUCUCUCUUGAUAGUGCAUGGUGGCUCGUUGCCCAGGUACGCACCUACUUUCACUUUGGUAAUUGUCUAAGCAUAUUUUGAUUUUCACGUGUGCAUGAUUUAUUCUGGGUACUCAUUGAUUUACUCGUCCAUUGUCAUGAUCGCUUCAUUUUAUUAGUAAAGACCCGACUUUAGGGACUUAGAGGGGUGCUACGGUUUUUACCGUACCUUCCCGAUAAGUAACCUGACCCCCGAACCCGAUCCAGUUUUUCGUAGACCACCUUUUCCAAAAUAAGAAGUCACACUUAGGGUUUUUCUUUCUUAUUUUGUUUACCCUUUUAAAAAUAAAACAAAAAUAAGUGGCGACUCUAAGUCAUUUUUCUUAAUCAAUAAAAAUCAAUUUUCCAAAAUCAAAAGCGAGUUUCGCCAUCGAGUGGGAAAUGCAUUGAGCCGAAAUGCGGGGUCCACAAUAAGGUUAUUUGUUUUCGAGAAUAGUUUUUUGUUCUCCAAAAUAAAAAAAUAAAAAAACAUGUUUGAUAAUCAGAAAAUAUUUUUUUGUCUUCUAUUCUUAAGAACAAAAAAUAAGGUGUUUUUAAAUAAUAUCUUUCACUCAUUUUCACUUGUUUUUUAAGAAUUGUUUUAAAAAAUAAUUAUACAAAUAUAUAGAAUGAUUAAAUAUAAAAUACUAAAUAUAAAAUUAUUUUUAAAACAUAUUUAAAAACAUUAUAAAUAUGUUAAAAUAUUUCAAAUUCAUAAAUAGACUUUUAUUCUAUAAAACAUUAUAAAAUAAUUUUCAAAAAUUAUUCUCAAAAACUAUGUUUCAAAACUAUUUUCGAAAAUAGUUACCAAAUAAGAACUAAGAUUCAUAUAUAAAGAAAUUGGACAAACAUAUAAAGAUAUCAAAUGUAAGUGCAAUAAAUUAAGAAAAAAAAAAAGGAAGAAGAAGAAGAAGAAGAACUCGUAUAUAGCAAAAAGUAAAGGAAACCUUUUUUCACAAUGUGAUAUUCAUUAGUAAUUGGUCAACAUUUUUCUUUAUGGCAUCAAAAUGCUAUUUUUUUGGUACCAUAUCAUGACAUUUGAAUUAGAGAGCUACCAGCUAGUUUAUGUUUCAUGACUCGUGUGAGUGUAUAAUUAAUUUUAAAAGCUUGUACAUGCAAAAGUGUUCAAUAUAACCAAUGUACUAACUUAAUUUAAGUUAUCAAAUAUGUACAAUAAAAUAAUUUAAUAGAAUUAUUAAAAAUAAAAAAUAAAAAAUAAAUUACUCUUUCUAAAUCAUUAAAAAUAAAAAAUGGUGCCCACAAUACUUUAACCUCUUGACUUGUCAUCAACCCUCUAUCACAAUAGUCAACUAUUUUAAAUUAUUAAUUCUUUAUUGGAGGUCUAAUUAAUUAUUAAACUAUUAAUUCGAUAUGUUUGUCCCUAAAAAAUAUUAAGAAAAGAAAAAAAGCAUUAAGAAAAUUGGUUAUUUCAUAUUUGGUUUCAUUAUUAAAAAUAUAAAAGAAAAUCAAAUAUAAUUAAAAUUUAUUAAAAUUUUAUAUAUUUUUUAAUUAUUUAAUCUUUAUAUAAUAGAAGAAAAUAAAUAAAAUGAGUUUGAAGAAACAUAUAAAAAUAAUUUAUUAAUUUUAAAUUUAUUUUUUAUUUUUCUUCUAUUUUUCCACUUUAUUUUCUUUUCUUCACAUUUUUCAUAACCAAACAUAGUCUAAGAGAAUUUUUAUUUUUUUUCCUUAUUCACACAACCUUUUGUGUUUUUUUGAAGACUGAAAUUGCUCAAAAUCGACUAGUAAGGAAGAAAUCUCAAAAAGACAUUAAUUGUAAAUCCUUACUUAAUUUCCAAAUCUAAGAAAUGUAUUAAGGAAUAGUAUUCUUAAAUUUCCAACAGGGUUUUUAAUUAAGAUAUUAGAGAAUUAUUAUUAUUAUUAUUAAAUUACAUUAUAUAAUAAUAUACUUACAAGAUCAAUAUUAUCUUAUCUUAAGAACAAAAAGAGAGAGCAACUAAUUACAAAGAUGAGAGCCCUCGGAGUUCUCUCUUAUCACUCCUAGUAUUGUGCUAGUGGCUAAUUUUGAACCUUUGGUCUUUCGUGGGGAGCCACCACGGGCCUAGUGGCAUACUCUCCUCUAAAAUUUUAAAGAACGCCAAUUUGACACAACAAAAAGAUAUUUAAAAAAUAUUUUUAUUUUUAUUUUAAAAUUUAUUUAAUAUUUAUAAAAUUAAUUUUUUUUAAAUGCUAAUUUUUCACUAUAAAACAAAUGUUAACAAAAUAAUUUUUAUUUGAUUUUUUAUUAAAUAUUUUCUUAGCUGUGGGUAGUGUUUAUAUUUUUAGGUUUAAUCCAAUAGUCAUGAAUUUAUAAAUGAUUAUAUAAUUAUUUGAAUUAUAUGCUAUUUAAUAAUUAAAUUUAUUUCAUUUGACUUUGAGAUUUGAGGUUUAAUUGUGUAGUACUUUGAAGGCAAAUUUUAUGAUUUUAAAAAUAAAUUUCUCAAAUGCUUUGAAGGUAAAAAGGAAUGAUUAAGAGCAUUCCAUAGAUGUGAUUUUUUAUUUUUUAUUUUCAUUCUUUUUAAUCAUGUGAUAAUUUAUAUUUCAACUGGAAACUGACUGAAUGUCUGAGUUCACCGCCAGCAAGGGAAUUGAGGGGAGGGAGAGCCAAAUGCUCAGACAAGGAUGGAGUGAUGCCCUUCCGGCGUACCGGUUUACAGAGCCCAUGUAGAAAACGUAAACCCCUUUGGAUUUCCCAUUUCUGAUAUCCAUCUCAGGUGUGGCUGGUUCAGCUCUUCUGUCCUCAUAAACCCGAAAAUAUUCAAGCGUCUAUGCUACAACUACUGCCUUGUCAGGAAUGGGAGGCCCCUGGCUAGCGGUUCCAUGGUCGAAUUUGAGUUUGCCAACAGCUUCAGCUACCCCCUCUCUUUCUCUUCAAUAAGGUUAAUUUUACGAUUUUACUUGAAUUUUAGAAUACAUCGGAUAAUGAAUAUUUUAAAUAUCAAUAAAAUAAAAAUUAUUUUAAAUUUAUAAAUAAAAAUACAUAUAUUAAAAUUAUUUUAUAUAUGUAAUUGAUGUAAAUAUAAUUAAGAAGAAAAAUAUCAAUAAACAAAGAAAUAUCAAUCUUAAUAUAUAAUUUAUUAUUUAUUUAAUUAAAUUAAUUUUAAUUUAUAAAAUAUUAACUUCAUUAUUUUUUUACAUAUUUUAAUAUUUUUUUAAAUAAAUUUACAUUUUAAUAUUUUAAAAUAAAAACAUUCAAAAUUAGGAAGAUAAAUAUAAAAAAAUUAAAAGGGAAGUAAUAGUAAUAUUUAAAAUAAGAUUAAUGAAAUAAUUAUUAUAUAUUUAAUAUUAAAACUAUAUUUUAUUUAAUUUAAAUACAUUUAAUAAUAUAAAAUAAAUAAUUAUGCAUAUGAUUUUUUAAUUUUUAUAUUUUUAUAUUUAAUUAUCAUAUAAAUGAUAUAAAAAGACUUGUUAAGAAAAUUAUAAUGCUGGUUUUUAUACUUUUAUUAAUCAAUUAAAUAAAAUUUAAAAUAAAAUAAUUAAAAUUAAUUUAUUCUUCUAUUUUUUAAUAAUGAAGUUUAAGGUGUUCAGUGUGAACAUUUACUUACAAAAGUGAACUUGGUCUAGUGGUAGCCACACAGGGUUCAAAUCCCCCGCUGCAAGAAAAAUGUGAAGUUUGGCCAGAGUUGGAACCCCUUUCUACAAGAAAAAUGUGAAGGGGCUUGGCCCGCUUAGCUGCAAUAUAGGUGAUAUUUUAGAAAAAUUUUUGAAAAAUGGGUCGACCAAUUAUGUAGAAUGUCGUGUCAGCCCUCACCGAUAUUUUGACGAAAUUUCGCGAUAUUUUAAAUCAUGAUUGUAACACUAUGGCACCAUUGCAACUGUACUACCACAAAGGAAUAAUGUCUUGGGAAAUUUAUUUAUUUUUCUUAUUGUUAUAAAAUGAGAAAACAAAUUGAAUAAAGUACAUAAUUCUCUAGUAUUAACCAUGAAUACCAUAUUAAUUACAUGCUUUGACACAAGAAAUUAUGAGAUCAGGGGUGCUGGUUCUGAGGGCUGGUAGGAGGGGAUGGAGGGUAGUAGUAGGGAAUCCAAGUUCUGGGGUCUUCCCAGUUGAAUGCUGGAGGAGGAGGGUUUAGUGAAGGGAUGUAGGGUGUCCAAGUUUUGGGGUCUCCCAAGUUGAAUGCUGGAGGAGGAGGGUUUAGUGAAGGGAUGUAGGGUGUCCAAGUUUUGGGGUCUCCCAAGUUGAAUGCUGGUGGAGGAGGAGGGGUUAGUGAAGGGAUGUAGGGUGUCCAAGUUUUGGGGUCUCCCAAGUUGAAUGCUGGUGGGGGAGGGGGAGACAGGGAAGGUAUGUGUGGUAUCCACGUUCUGGGGUCUCCCCAGUUGAACGCAGGCGGAGGAGGGGGAGGAAGGGAGAGAGGUGGGGUUGGAGGGAAAGGGAAGGGUAGAGAUGGUGGUGUUUUGAAUGGUAAUGGAGGAAAUGGAAGUGAUGGAAAUGGGGGCAAUGGGGAAAAGGGAAAAGGCAAUGUUGGCAGAGGAGGUAGCCGAGGCAGAGGAGGUAGCCGAGGCAGAGGAGGUAGCUGAGGCAGAGGAGGUAGCUGAGGCAGAGGCGGUAGCUGAGGCAGAGGAGGUAGGGGAGGUAAAGAAGGCCAAGGGAAGCCAAAUGGUGGAAAGCAAGGCAGAAAGAAUUUUGCAGAAUUUAAGUCAUUUGGCAAUUCCUGUGUUUGAUCUCCACAAAUUGUGGUGUUCCUCUUGGAUGGUCUGUAGCUCAAAGCAUUCAAGUUGAAGAUGCAGAGGUUGUCCUGUUUUGAUUUCACCGAGAUGGCAUUAGUCGUCGUCUUCAAGCCAGGAACAUUGCAGGCUGAUGAUGAGCUCCCAAUCAACUUUGCCUGGCAAAGAGUCUGCAUUGUGUGACCUCCUAUGCAGUCAAUUCCAUCAACAGAUGGUAU
RNAcentral lists this long non-coding RNA (38393 nucleotides) under Vitis vinifera (wine grape). RNAcentral describes it as "long non-coding RNA (VVIN_LNC000311)". Lineage: Eukaryota; Viridiplantae; Streptophyta; Magnoliopsida; Vitales; Vitaceae. The record is from RNAcentral.